RNAcentral lists this unclassified non-coding RNA (778 nucleotides) under Bombus terrestris (buff-tailed bumblebee). Its description in RNAcentral is "misc RNA ENSBTSG00005032617.1". Lineage: Eukaryota; Metazoa; Arthropoda; Insecta; Hymenoptera; Apidae. The record is from RNAcentral.
AAUUGCAUUGGUUUCUCGCACGACGAUCGGAUCCUCCCCCCUCGACGAUGAGUUAAGGGCCGAGAAGUGCUAAGGAGAACUGCCAGACGCGGAAAGCAAUCUAGCGGUAUCGUUGGAGAAGACCAACGGUAUCCUUCCCGGUUAAAUGGCUAGUCGAGGUAUAAAAAAGGGCUGGCCAAUUUUUUUGCUCGUUGGCCGUUCUCCAGGAAGGACGUAACCCAGCCGUGAGCCGGUCGAUGCGGAAGAAUUUUUUCAUGCAAACUUUUUCACAUACCCCUUUGCUCUUAUAGUUGCUGCCAGCUUAUCGAAGCGGAAGCGGCGAAGAGGUUGGUGGAAAGAGAAGCGAGAGAACGAGGGUACACAAAUGCUACGAGCGAAGAAGAGUGGCAUCGCAAGAAGAAACUCCAAAGGAACCCGUGCAUCCACGGUAAUUUGGCAAAGGUGAGACUUCCUAUUGGAAGAAACGUAAAAGGUAGCCUUAAGGGAGGGAUGGAAGAGAAAAAAAAGGCGCAACCUCCUGGUUGGAAGACUGGGAAGAAAAAGUGGGGAGCACAGAAUGUCAGCGUAGGCGGGUAGACCGACGGAAAGUUUCGUUCAAUCUCUCGUGAGAAUGUUACGAUAUUCGAGCAUUGUCAACGAAGGCCACUCAAACGGUUACGCUACGACGAAGGAUCGAUAAGAUCUUUGAAGAAUUCUCCUCCGGUGAAAACGUUAACGAGCACUUGGAAUCUUUCGUAUCGAUGCCUGGACGUACGUACAAGCACGCCGUGGCCUUUCG